CAAAGUUCAUCCCAUGCGCCUGCGGGCUGCGGCUCUCUCCCCCUUCUCCUCCUUCCUUCCCUCCCUCCCUCCAUCCGCGUCGCUCGUUCAAUGGUGGUAGUUCGUGGUGCAUUGGCCCUCUUGCAGUGCUGGCAUUUUGCUGUGGGGUCUUUGUCUGGUGAUGAUCAGUCUACAAUACGUUUGAUUAUCAUGCCGUUGUGCAGAGGAAACAGAGUAAAGAAAAUCCAAGUUCUGCAUGGUUUAAUGUUGCUUCACAUUUGGCCUGGUACAAAUCUAUCUGCACAGAGAAACAAUGGAGCAUUCAAUCGGGGCAACAUUGCUGAUCCAGUCUCAGGAUGAUCUGCUGUGUCUUCUAAUAUCUUUGUUUCUCGUUUGGAAAAAAAAUUCAAGCAAAGAUUACAGAUUGAUAAUAAAUGGAUCGAAUUUUUGCUCGUGCUA
Molecule: long non-coding RNA, 438 nt
Organism: Triticum aestivum (bread wheat)
Lineage: Eukaryota; Viridiplantae; Streptophyta; Magnoliopsida; Poales; Poaceae
Exons: 2
Source: RefSeq, a predicted model, not a curated record